Molecule: ribosomal RNA, 358 nt
Filed under: Babesia sp.
Lineage: Eukaryota; Apicomplexa; Aconoidasida; Piroplasmida; Babesiidae
Description: bacterial SSU rRNA
Rfam family: Eukaryotic small subunit ribosomal RNA
Source: RNAcentral
AGGUAGUGACAAGAAAUAACAAUACAGGGCUAUUGUCUUGUAAUUGGAACGAUGGUGACUUAAACCCUCACCAGAGUACCAAUUGGAGGGCAAGUCUGGUGCCAGCAGCCGCGGUAAUUCCAGCUCCAAUAGCGUAUAUUAAACUUGUUGCAGUUAAAAAGCUCGUAGUUGAAUUUCAGCGUUGUUUUCGUGUUCCCUUUUUGCGGGUUUCGUCUACUUCGCUUUUUUUUAUUACUUUGAGAAAAUUAGAGUGUUUCAAGCAGGCUUUUGUCUUGAAUACUUGAGCAUGGAAUAAUAGAGUAGGACUUUGGUUCUAUUUUGUUGGUUUUAGGUACCAAAGUAAUGGUUAAUAGGAACA